RNAcentral lists this ribosomal RNA (513 nucleotides) under uncultured bacterium. Its description in RNAcentral is "bacterial SSU rRNA". It matches the Rfam family "Bacterial small subunit ribosomal RNA", at positions 29 to 518 of the family's 1533-position model. The record is from RNAcentral.
AACGAACGCUGGCGGCGUGCUUAACACAUGCAAGUCGAACGCGAAAGGGGACUUCGGUCCUGAGUAAAGUGGCGCACGGGUGAGUAACGCGUAGAUAACCUGUCUUCAUGGUCUGGAAUAAUACGCCGAAAGGGGUACUAAUACCGGAUAUUCUUGCUUUUCAUAAGUUAUGCAAGCAAAGGUGGCCUCUGCAUAUGCUACUGCAUGAAGAGGGGUCUGCGUACCAUUAGCUAGUAGGUGGGGUAAUGGCCUACCUAGGCGACGAUGGUUAGCGGGUCUGAGAGGAUGAUCCGCCACACUGGCACUGGAACACGGGCCAGACUCCUACGGGAGGCAGUAGUGAGGAAUAUUGCGCAAUGGGGGAAACCCUGACGCAGCGACGCCGCGUGAGUGAAGGAAGGCCUUCGGGUCGUAAAGCUCUGUCAAGAGGAAAGAAGUGUACAAUGGCUAAUACCUGUUGUAUUUGACGGUACCUCUAAAGGAAGCACCGGCUAACUCCGUGCCAGCCGCAGC